RNAcentral lists this ribosomal RNA (222 nucleotides) under uncultured bacterium. RNAcentral's name for it is "partial 16S ribosomal RNA". It matches the Rfam family "Bacterial small subunit ribosomal RNA", at positions 524 to 745 of the family's 1533-position model. The record is from RNAcentral.
UACGGAGGGUGCGAGCGUUGUCCGGAAUCAUUGGGCGUAAAGGGCGCGUAGGUGGCGGGACAAGCGUGCGGUGAAAGCUCGGGGCUCAACCCCGCGUCGGCCGUGCGAACUGUUUUGCUUGAGCACUGUAGAGGCAGGCGGAAUUCCGGGUGUAGCGGUGGAAUGCGUAGAGAUCCGGAAGAACACCGGUGGCGAAGGCGGCCUGCUGGGCAGUAGCUGACG